This 497-nucleotide ribosomal RNA is filed under the name uncultured bacterium. RNAcentral describes it as "partial 16S ribosomal RNA". It matches the Rfam family "Bacterial small subunit ribosomal RNA", at positions 29 to 507 of the family's 1533-position model. The record is from RNAcentral.
AAUGAACGCUGGCGGCGGGCCUAAUACAUGCAAGUCGAGCGAAAAGACGAGGAGAGUGCUCUUUUGAGGUUAGCGGGGGACGGAUGAGUAAGACGUAGAUAACAAACCUAUAAGACGGGGAUAACAUCGGGAAAAAGGAGACAAUAAUGGAGAAUAUAUUGAACGGGAGGGAGCAGUAGUGAAAGAGGGUUUUGCUGACACUAAUAGAUGGAUCCGCGUCGCAUUAGCUAGUUGGUAAGGUAACGGCUUACCAAGGAAACGAUGCGUAGCCGUCCUGAGAGGAUGAUCAGCCACACUGGAACUGAGACACGGUCCAGACUCCUACGGGAGGCAGCAGUGGGGAAUCUUCCGCAAUGGGCGAAAGCCUGACCGAGCAACGCCGCGUGAGUGAUGAAGGUCUUCGGAUCGUAAAACUCUUUUAUUAGGGAAGAACAAAUGUGUAUUUAUCUCUGCAUGUCUUGACGGUACCUAAUCAAUAAGCCCCGGCUAACUUCGUG